RNAcentral lists this ribosomal RNA (200 nucleotides) under uncultured prokaryote. Its description in RNAcentral is "partial 16S ribosomal RNA". It matches the Rfam family "Bacterial small subunit ribosomal RNA", at positions 1184 to 1382 of the family's 1533-position model. The record is from RNAcentral.
GUCAAGUCAUCAUGGCCCUUAUGUCCAGGGCGACACACGUGCUACAAUGGCCGGUACAGAGGGAAGCGAGUUUGAGAGGAUGAGCGGAUCCCAGAAAGCCGGUCUCAGUUCGGAUUGAAGUCUGCAAUUCGACUUCAUGAAGCUGGAAUCGCUAGUAAUCGCAGAUCAGCCAAGCUGCGGUGAAUACGUUCCCGGGCCUU